Molecule: ribosomal RNA, 346 nt
Filed under: Leiopelma hamiltoni
Lineage: Eukaryota; Metazoa; Chordata; Amphibia; Anura; Leiopelmatidae
Description: partial 12S ribosomal RNA
Rfam family: Bacterial small subunit ribosomal RNA
Source: RNAcentral
CCGCCAGGGUACUACGAGCUACAGCUUAAAACCCAAAGGACUUGGCGGUGCCCCACACCCACCUAGAGGAGCCUGUUCUAUAAUCGAUAACCCCCGCUAAACCUCACCACUUAUUGCCAAUACCGCCUAUAUACCACCGUCGCCAGCCCACCCUGUGAAGGACUUCAAGUAGGCACAAUGGUCACCACCAAAACGUCAGGUCAAGGUGUAGCACAUGAAGUGGGAAGAAAUGGGCUACAUUUUCUACCCUAGAACAAACGAACGAUCAUUAUGAAACAUGCUCAGAAGGUGGAUUUAGCAGUAAAAAGGAACAAAAGAGUCCUUUUUAAUCCGGCCCUGGGCGCGU